Molecule: ribosomal RNA, 253 nt
Filed under: uncultured bacterium
Lineage: Bacteria
Description: partial 16S ribosomal RNA
Rfam family: Bacterial small subunit ribosomal RNA
Source: RNAcentral
UACGUAGGGGGCAAGCGUUGUCCGGAUUUAUUGGGCGUAAAGAGCGUGUAGGCGGCCAGGUAGGUCCGCUGUGAAAACUCGAGGCUCAACCUCGAGAUGUCGGCGGAAACCAUCUGGCUAGAGUCCGGAAGAGGAGAGUGGAAUUCCUGGUGUGGCGGUGAAAUGCGCAGAUAUCAGGAAGAACACCCGUGGCGAAGGCGGCUCUCUGGGACGGUACUGACGCUGAGACGCGAAAGCGUGGGGAGCGAACAGG